UAUCCCUUCUGGAAGGACAGGGCCGCACACAGGAGGACACAGUGACGGUGCUCAGCCCGCACAGAACUAGUUUAUUCAGUAGUAUGGAGAAAUGAAAAAACAAAACACAAAAUGCUACCAUAUUUACAGUAACAAUCAAACUGUACAAUCAGAUGGUUAGUGUCAAGUUAGCAUCCAGCAUCUUUGUAUUUUUUUAAGUCAAGUCAUCAGUAGUAAAAACCAGUUACGUUUUUAACCUUUUGCAUGAAUUGCCGAGGGGAGAGGCCAGGGGGAAGAAUCCACGGCAGAAAAACCAGAGACCAGCCUUAUAAAUGAGAAAUAGAAAUAUUUUCUCUACUCAGAGCCUCUUUCUAGCCACCUGCUCCAGAGGAAAGUCGGUGACAAGUCUGGAAUACAUGUUUAGUGUAAAUGGUGACUCCAGUGAUUAGCAGCUGGCAAAACCGAGGAGGAAGAGGAGAGGUGGGGAGAUGACAGCCUGGAGCAAGGGCAAGGGCCUUAGGCCCCCUUGCCAGGACUGCUGGGUACACACCCAACCUGUGAUGGCCAUGUCAGACCCCCUGGGACUGGACCCAUCCCAACACAACAAGCAAAUAAAUAAAAAAUAUAUAUUAACUCUCUCUUCGCAGGGAGCUGGGUGGUGAGGGGGAGAAAAAGGAACAGGACUUGGUCUUUUGAAGAAGAGAGCCAAUUCCAAGAAGGAGAUAAAAAUAGAACAUGUCUCAGAGGCCACAGCAGGUCAGUGGGGUUUGUCUGGUCCCGGAGGAGGGAGAGUGGACACGGGAUCCCGGACUCCAGACCUGGGCUGGAGACGGCAGGGGGCGACCCGACUCCUGGCAGUCUUCCUCCUCCCUGUCCCACCCAUACAAUAGCAAAGAAGCGCAACUUAACAAGUGACUGGCCUUCCCCAGCACGGGGCAGGCAGGGAAAUGAAGCACUUUUGGGUCAGCGAACUGAGCAAACACCCGGGCUGCAGCACGCGGCCGGAGUCCAGGAAAAGGAGAGGGGCGGGGUGGCCCGUCCGCCGCCUGGGGGCGCGGGUUCCCCUCAGAAUGUGUUCAUGCAGCAUUUGGGGGUCCGGGGGCUCCGAGUCCUUCUGCCCCCUCUCCGGACAGGGCUUUUGCAGUUCCUGGAGGUGGCAGCACGGGCAGGGUGAGGAACGCCCUCCGUCCUGCCACCCUUGCCGCGCUGAGGCCCGCCCGGUGCAGCCCGCAGGGCACGAUGCCCUGGGUGCAUGUGGCUUCGUCCUUUCCUUUUGGUGAUGGCAGACGGGGGGGCAGGCCCCCCGAGAGUCCCUCUCCUCCCAGAGGCACAGCAGAUGGGAAACUGAGGAGAGGCUGGGAGAGCAUCCUGGGGGGUCCUAGCCUCUUAGGGGAGGGAAAGGGGAGUCAGUUUCCAGCGUAUAAAAAAAAUUAAUCCCUGAAGUCAUGAAGAGUGGAGAUCCAUUUUUAAAUCUUUUUUUUUUUUUUUUCCUCUUUUC
Molecule: long non-coding RNA, 1477 nt
Filed under: Bos mutus (wild yak)
Lineage: Eukaryota; Metazoa; Chordata; Mammalia; Artiodactyla; Bovidae
Description: lncRNA (ENSBMUG00000003780.1)
Source: RNAcentral